AAAGAAACCAACAGGGAUUGCCCUAGUAACGGCGAGUGAAGCGGCAACAGCUCAAAUUUGAAAUCUGGCGCAAGCCCGAGUUGUAAUUUGUAGAGGAUGCUUCUAGGUAGCGACCGGUCUAAGUUCCUUGGAACAGGACGUCAUAGAGGGUGAGAAUCCCGUAUGUGACCGGCCCGCACCUUCUACGUAGCUCCUUCGAAGAGUCGAGUUGUUUGGGAAUGCAGCUCUAAAUGGGAGGUAAAUUUCUUCUAAAGCUAAAUACCGGCCAGAGACCGAUAGCGCACAAGUAGAGUGAUCGAAAGAUGAAAAGCACUUUGGAAAGAGAGUUAAAAAGCACGUGAAAUUGUUGAAAGGGAAGCGCUUACAACCAGACUUCUGGGCGGUGUUCCGCCGGUCUUUUGACCGGUCUACUCUCCGUCCCGAGGCCAACAUCAUCUGGGACCGCUGGAUAAGACCUUAGGAAUGUAGCUCCCCUCGGGGAGUGUUAUAGCCUCUGGUGAUGCAGCGCGUCCCGGGUGAGGUCCGCGCUUCGGCAAGGAUGUUGGCGUAAUGGUUGUCAGCGGCCCGUCUUGAAACACGGACCAAGGAGUCUAACAUCUAUGCGAGUGUUCGGGUGUCAAACCCCUACGCGUAAUGAAAGUGAACGGAGGUGGGAAGCGCAAGCUGCACCAUCGACCGAUCCUGAUGUCCUCGGAUGGAUUUGAGUAAGAGCAUAGCUGUUGGGACCCGAAAGAUGGUGAACUAUGCCUGAAUAGGGUGAAGCCAGAGGAAACUCUGGUGGAGGCUCGCAGCGGUUCUGACGUGCAAAUCGAUCGUCAAAUUUGGGU
Molecule: ribosomal RNA, 827 nt
Filed under: Ramularia collo-cygni
Lineage: Eukaryota; Fungi; Ascomycota; Dothideomycetes; Mycosphaerellales; Mycosphaerellaceae
Description: eukaryotic LSU rRNA
Rfam family: Eukaryotic large subunit ribosomal RNA
Source: RNAcentral